Molecule: unclassified non-coding RNA, 1735 nt
Filed under: Hevea brasiliensis (rubber tree)
Lineage: Eukaryota; Viridiplantae; Streptophyta; Magnoliopsida; Malpighiales; Euphorbiaceae
Source: RNAcentral
CAGAACUUAGCCACUGCUUUGCCUGCAAAUUGGUGGACCUUGUUGACAAUAACACAUAACUACACGUUACUAACCUAACAAAAGAUUAAAAGAACUUUUUUUCAUGGAAUCACUACUACUACGAUAAUGAUCUCCACCAUACCAAAUAAAACAAUAAACCCUUCCUCAAUAAGAGGAGCAAUUUGAUGUGGGCUCAAGAGCCACCAGCAUAAGGGUGAUUACAACAACACUGAGGACAUACCACUUCUACAACCAUCUUUCUUAUUUAGUUGUCUAAACUUUAAGCUCUGCCUCCUUUUAUGAUUCUUUAUGAAAUGAACAGAUCUUUACUCCAUAUUGUCAUCACAGCCUUCAAUUAUAGUGAACCAUCUCUUAACUUCUUUUCAAGUUUUUGCUUCGAAAUUUAGUGAAUCAUUCUAAGUUUCUUGUAGGACAUUUUUAAUAUGGUCCUCAAACCUCAGAAAAUGAAAAAUCAAGUCCUUCAAUAUUAAGAUUUUAUUAAUAAUUUGUUAACUAUAUCUUUUCAAUUCUUAUCAGUAGACACCAAUGAUUGAUUGUUUGACAAAAUCUGAAAGUGCCACACUAGCUUAAGACGGGAGGACUUUGUAAAAUAGUAAAGGCUAGCUCAAUCAAUUAGACAACAUUUGUGAAAAAAAUGACUUAAUUGAACAGGAAAGAAAGUUGAAGACUUGAUUGCACAAAUGUAAAAUUCAGAAACCAUAACAUAAAAAAGUUAUAGUGUAAUGGUCAAAUUCAAAAACAUUCCAAAACUAAUUAAUCAAUCUACUAGCCCCAAGCCCUUUCGAUUACACCCAAAGCAUUUUGAAUUCCAAAUCUAAUUAAUUGAUAAACUAUUCCAAAUCUAAAGUUUAAGGAUUUUUUUAACUAAAUAACACGAAUUAUGUGAAUGAAAUAAAAUAAUCCCAUAAAACAAAAGCAGUCAAAUAAAUUCUGACCUCCAUGGCCAUCAUAAACACCAAAGAAAGAUGUGGAACCGUCCAAAUCUGGAUAAGCCGCAUGCUGUUAAACACCUCAUACAAAUUCAGUAUGCAAAAGUACACAACUUAAGAAAAAACAUGAAACUCUAAGUUCCCUAAAUGGGACUUCAAACUCUGUGUCCUAUGCAGCAUAUAUAUUCUUAUAGAGAAUCAGUGUCAGUUUUAAUUCUGUGUCUUAAUAGCAAUCAUAAUCAGAAAACCUAUCAAUUAUUUAAGCAUGGUUAUUAAACUUUAAUUUCUAUGAGAAAAUACUCAACCUUAAUUUUGUUUCAAUAAGGUUAAUAUUGCUAGAUUUUCAUAGAAUUUCAUCCAAAUUUUUAUUUGAUAAUCAAAUAAAGAAUUUAUUAUUUCGAGUUUCCACUGUUUUCAAAUUGUUGCUACUUUCACCAAACCACAGUUCAUGGCAUUUUAAAUUUAAUGCCUUGCCUAUGAGUUCAAACUUCUGCAACAAGUGCAACAAGAAAAAGGGCAAGCACAACUAUUGUAAUGAUGUUGAUGAUUAUAUCCACACAAGGCCGAUCAAUCUCAUAACUUGAGCAUGUAAUCAUUCAAUCAAAGACCAAAAAUAAACCAGCAUUAAGCAAAAUAACACAAUCACAAAGAGUACUGACAGCAUCUUCCAUGGUUGCACGCCAACCUUGCAUGGAUGACAAGCCAUAUCUGAGGCUAUAAUUCUCACCGUCCUCUGAGAACUUAUCUGUUUUAGGAGAGCUGAGGUAUAUACCCAUCUCUACCUG